RNAcentral lists this ribosomal RNA (433 nucleotides) under uncultured bacterium. Its description in RNAcentral is "partial 16S ribosomal RNA". It matches the Rfam family "Bacterial small subunit ribosomal RNA", at positions 29 to 507 of the family's 1533-position model. The record is from RNAcentral.
AACGAACGCUGGCGGCAUGCCUAACACAUGCAAGUCGAACGAAAACUUCGGGUCUAGUGGCGCCCGGGUGCGUAACCCGUGGGAACAUGCCCUUAGGUUCGGCCUAACUACCCGAAAGGGGUGCUAAUACCGGAUCAUGUCUUCGGACCAAAGAUUUAUCGCCUUUGGUUGUGCGCGCGUUGGAUUAGCUUGUUGGUAGGGUAAAAGCCUACCAAGGCGACGAUCCAUAGCUGGGUUGAGAGGAUGAUCAGCCACUCCGAGACUGAGACACGGCCCAGACUCCUACGGGAGGCAGGAGUGGGUAAUAGUGGACAAUGGGCGGAAGCCUGAUCCAGCAAGGCCGCGUGAGUGAUGAAGGCCUUAGGGUUGUAAAGCUCUUUUACCCGGGAUGAUAAUGACGGUACCGGGAGAAUAAGCUCCGGCUAACUCCGUG